UAUAGAUGAGUGUGUGGGUUUGUGUGGACUCCCCUUGAGUUAAACAUUCCUCUGCUUUUCUCAGCUGAAGUCCUUUGAGGAGCCCUUUCACUUCUGACAGGAAAUGAGCACCAUGCCAGGGAACGUGCUGGAAAAGAAUGUGGUCUCGGAUCACCUCCUGUCUCUGCACCCAGACAUUCUUUCCCGUGCCUUCCUGCUGCAAGGGAGACCCUGACGCGGCACGUCUUGUGUCUUAGAGCCUCAGCAGCUCCUCUUCAAAUAGUUCUUUCUUCCUUUCCCUGCUCAUCGUCUGAUGAAUGCCAGAUUUUCCCUCCCCGUCUUCGGUAUACUGGUCUCCUUAAUUUCUACCAUCUGCUGUGCUGCGCUCGGGAAGUGUGUAAGGAUGAGACACGCCUGAUGAACGGUUUGUCAGGGCACGAUGUCUGCUGGAAGGGGCUGCUUCCACGCCUGCCCACUGGUGCUGUUGGUCGCUGGUGUCGUGCGCUCCAGAGCUGGGUGUGCGCCCCGCGUAGCAGCCCUCCUGUCACAAAUCAUCAGGGUUCGGCUACUUAAAGGUCGGUGUGUCACCCGAAGAUGCAGUAUUUCCCAAAAGUCAGGAAGCAAAUAAAUUAUUACAGUUUAAAAAUGAA
This is a long non-coding RNA of Callorhinus ursinus (northern fur seal), 629 nucleotides long. RefSeq lists it as uncharacterized. NCBI's taxonomy places the organism in Eukaryota, Metazoa, Chordata, Mammalia, Carnivora, Otariidae. The record is from RefSeq and is a predicted model, not a curated record.